Molecule: ribosomal RNA, 496 nt
Filed under: uncultured bacterium
Lineage: Bacteria
Description: partial 16S ribosomal RNA
Rfam family: Bacterial small subunit ribosomal RNA
Source: RNAcentral
GAUGAACGCUGGCGGCGUGCCUAAUACAUGCAAGUCGAGCGAACAGAUGAGGAGCUUGCUCCUCUGACGUUAGCGGCGGACGGGUGAGUAACACGUGGAUAACCUACCUAUAAGACUGGGAUAACUUCGGGAAACCGGAGCUAAUACCGGAUAAUAUAUUGAACCGCAUGGUUCAAUAGUGAAAGACGGUUUUGCUGUCACUUAUAGAUGGAUCCGCGCCGCAUUAGCUAGUUGGUAAGGUAACGGCUUACCAAGGCAACGAUGCGUAGCCGACCUGAGAGGGGAGCGGGCCAAACGGAAACUGGACACGGGCCCGGCCCCCAAGGGGAGGCAGAGGGGGGGAUUCUUGCAAAAGGGGGGAAAGGUUACCGAGGCAACGCGGGGGGGUGAAGAAGGGUUUUGGGUUCGGAAACUCUUUUUAUUGGGAAAAAACAAAUGUGUAAAUAACUAUGCAGGGUUGACGGUACCAAAAGCAGAAGCCCCGGCUAACUUCGGG